GAGGGUAUAGUUCAGUGGUAGAGCACGUGCUUAGCAUGUGCUAAGGUCCUGGGUUCAAUCCCCACUACCUCCA
Molecule: transfer RNA, 73 nt
Filed under: Camelus bactrianus (Bactrian camel)
Lineage: Eukaryota; Metazoa; Chordata; Mammalia; Artiodactyla; Camelidae
Also listed under: 3 other names
Rfam family: tRNA
About the family: Transfer RNA (tRNA) molecules are approximately 80 nucleotides in length. Their secondary structure includes four short double-helical elements and three loops (D, anti-codon, and T loops). Further hydrogen bonds mediate the characteristic L-shaped molecular structure. tRNAs have two regions of fundamental functional importance: the anti-codon, which is responsible for specific mRNA codon recognition, and the 3' end, to which the tRNAs corresponding amino acid is attached (by aminoacyl-tRNA synthetases). tRNAs cope with the degeneracy of the genetic code in two manners: having more than one tRNA (with a specific anti-codon) for a particular amino acid; and 'wobble' base-pairing, i.e. permitting non-standard base-pairing at the 3rd anti-codon position.
Source: Rfam by way of RNAcentral